RNAcentral lists this non-coding RNA (48 nucleotides) under unclassified sequences. RNAcentral's name for it is "gut-2 RNA". It matches the Rfam family "gut-2 RNA". From Rfam's summary of the family: gut metagenomes. The record is from Rfam by way of RNAcentral.
UGCUGUCGGAUAAUCGGAUCCGACAAAGAGCCAAUUGGGGCUAGUCAC